Molecule: unclassified non-coding RNA, 217 nt
Filed under: Hevea brasiliensis (rubber tree)
Lineage: Eukaryota; Viridiplantae; Streptophyta; Magnoliopsida; Malpighiales; Euphorbiaceae
Source: RNAcentral
UGAUGUUGCUGUGGCCAUUCUCAAGUUAUGGCAGAAGGGCUGAUUAAAUGUAGUUUGCAGGAUUUUAUAGGUAAUUAAUUAAACUACACCGUCUUAAUGUCUCUGCCUAAGAUAUUGUGCUUGGAGCAGUAGUUUCAAACGUAGGAUUAGCAAUUUAGUAUCUUUAAUCUGUAUCAUCUUCUUAAGUAAGCAAAUUCUGCAGUAAAAUUCAGAUAAA